RNAcentral lists this ribosomal RNA (348 nucleotides) under Triticum aestivum (bread wheat). RNAcentral describes it as "partial small subunit ribosomal RNA". The record is from RNAcentral. Lineage: Eukaryota; Viridiplantae; Streptophyta; Magnoliopsida; Poales; Poaceae.
AUGACACCGACCCUGAGACCUGCAGGUACAACCAUCGACCGGGUGUCAGACUUAAUUGUCAGUGAUCUUUGGUCGUGGAAACAUGAAGUGGUGAGGAACACUUUCACCGCCCAGGAUGCCGCUGCCAUCCUCAACAUCCCGAUCAGGUAGGGCGGGGGUGAAGAUUUUUUCGCAUGGGCAUUUGAUAAAUCAGGGAACUACACUGUUAAGACGGCGUACCGCGCUCUAGUGACUCAGACUGAGCUUUUGUCUCAAGAGGAAGGGGCGGCUACCGAAGCUUCAACGGACGACCAACAGCUGUGGAAAUCUCUGUGGAAAUUGUCUGUUAUUCCCAAAGUGAGAGUUUUU